GACGAACGCUGGCGGCGUGCCUAAUACAUGCAAGUAGAACGCUAAAGGAGGAGCUUGCUCUUCUGGAUGAGUUGCGAACGGGUGAGUAACGCGUAGGUAACCUGCCUGGUAGCGGGGGAUAACUAUUGGAAACGAUAGCUAAUACCGCAUAAGAGUAGAUGUUGCAUGACAUUUACUUAAAAGGUGCAAUUGCAUCACUACCAGAUGGACCUGCGUUGUAUUAGCUAGUUGGUGGGGUAACGGCUUACCAAGGCGACGAUACAUAGCCGACCUGAGAGGGUGAUCGGCCACACUGGGACUGAGACACGGCCCAGACUCCUACGGGAGGCAGCAGUAGGGAAUCUUCGGCAAUGGACGGAAGUCUGACCGAGCAACGCCGCGUGAGUGAAGAAGGUUUUCGGAUCGUAAAGCUCUGUUGUAAGAGAAGAACGAGUGUGAGAGUGGAAAGUUCACACUGUGACGGUAUCUUACCAGAAAGGGACGGCUAACUACGUG
RNAcentral lists this ribosomal RNA (495 nucleotides) under uncultured bacterium. RNAcentral's name for it is "partial 16S ribosomal RNA". It matches the Rfam family "Bacterial small subunit ribosomal RNA", at positions 28 to 507 of the family's 1533-position model. The record is from RNAcentral.